UCACUUGCGGCUGUGGGCGCGCGGCUGGGAGGCCCACCGUCGAUACCUGAACUGAUGAGGGCGAAGGUGAGCCGGGGCGGCGGGCGGCUGUCUUGCAGAGGCGGAAGAAGCGGAUGCGGAGACAUGAGCACAAAAAGAAAAAGUACAAGAAAGGAAUCGUGGAAGACUCUUGGGGCCAAAAAUCUUACUGCUUUCCGCAAAGAGAUGUCGAGUAUCCGAUUGGUCAGAAAACGGUGAGCAGAGUAUGGUAACCUCAUUGAACAAGUGGACAAGGGAAAUGCUAAAAAGCGCAAGUGUGGAUCAGGUCGGCAACCAUUAUUUUCCGAGCUGGAAAACCUGAUCUGUGACAGGAGAGCAAAGGCUUUGGUUGUGAAUAGGGCACAGAUUCAAGAAUUUGCCCUUGCAAUGGCACCACAGUUUGACAUCGCCCCGGAAGACUUCAAAGCAUCACAACACUGGCUGGAUCAUUUCCUUCAGCGAAGUGAACUGUCUUUAAGAAGAUCCACGACUAUUACUGUACCGUAUACAGGCUAAAACGAAAACGGAGGAAGAUGAGGCAGAGGUCCAAGUGAAAUGUCAUCAAAUCGAGCCAACAGCCAGCUGCCGCCCUAGAAGUCUGAUGGCUUCACCUCUGAAAAGAUGCUUCUUUUCUGGAAAUCUCUUUACCUGAUGGGUUUAACAAAAAAUAAAGCUAUUACUGUAAAUGUC
This is a long non-coding RNA of Echinops telfairi (small Madagascar hedgehog), 708 nucleotides long. RefSeq lists it as uncharacterized. The transcript is spliced from 3 exons. NCBI's taxonomy places the organism in Eukaryota, Metazoa, Chordata, Mammalia, Afrosoricida, Tenrecidae. The record is from RefSeq and is a predicted model, not a curated record.